CUUUUCCAUGAUGGCGUUUUCACCCAUAACAAGGUUAUUGUACUAUUCUCUGUAUGUUACCUUCAUCCUUGGAAAUCGCCUUCAGAUGCCGGAGAUACCUUUAGCAAGAUCCUUUUUUCCAGAAAACCUGUUUCUUUCCUCUCUUUCCCAAUUAGCCAGCCUGAAUGAAUUCUACAUUUAUAACUGGUUUCUCCGUAGAAUUUGGUCUGUGACCACAGAGCAAACAGCAAGACCAGGGACACAAGGUAGAGAAGAGUGAGUGGAAAACAUCUCAUCUGAUCUCUACACGGGUGUCUGGCCGAGGGUGAGUCUUCAAGAGGGCGGGACAUUAACGCUGUGAUGUGAAGCUCUGCCGGUGUUUUUCUACAGUUCACACAAUCACCAGAAAGCCCGUGUCUUGGCACCAGAACCUGGAGGAACCUGCAGACGAUGGGGCCGGGAGUGGAGACCUCAUACCGUGCCGAUGGAGACAGACAAGUAGCCAGGUUCCUAAAUCUUAUCCACCAGGCCGCUCAGGGGCCACGGAAGAGAUACCCAGACACGCAAACAGAAAGCCCAGAAAUUGGACGGGACUCUGAGGCCUAGGAGUGUGUGCUGAGCCCCUGGGGUGCGCUGGCCCAGGCCCCACGGACUCUGAACCCAGGUUGCCCUCCCUCCCCGGGGGUUGCCUUCUGAUGCCCACCAUCUCCUCUCGGGUCAGCCCGGAAUGUGACG
Canis lupus familiaris (dog) is the source of this 714-nucleotide long non-coding RNA. RefSeq lists it as uncharacterized. The record is from RefSeq and is a predicted model, not a curated record. The transcript has 5 exons. Lineage: Eukaryota; Metazoa; Chordata; Mammalia; Carnivora; Canidae.